Molecule: ribosomal RNA, 468 nt
Filed under: uncultured bacterium
Lineage: Bacteria
Description: bacterial SSU rRNA
Rfam family: Bacterial small subunit ribosomal RNA
Source: RNAcentral
CCGCCGCCGUAAUACAUGCAAGUCGAGCGAGGGGAGUUCUUCGGAACAAACCUAGCGGCGGACGGGUGAGUAACACGUGGGCAACCUGCCUCAUAGAGGGGAAUAGCCUUCCGAAAGGGAGAUUAAUACCCCAUAAGAUUGUAGUUUCGCAUGAAGCAGCAAUUAAAGGAGCAAUCCGCUAUGAGAUGGGCCCGCGGCGCAUUAGCUAGUUGGUGAGGUAACGGCUCACCAAGGCGACGAUGAGUAGCCGACCUGAGAGGGUGAUCGGCCACAUUGGGACUGAGACACGGCCCAGACUCCUACGGGAGGCAGCAGUGGGGAAUAUUGCACAAUGGGGAAACCCUGAUGCAGCAACGCCGCGUGAGUGAUGAAGGCCUUCGGGUUGUAAAGCUCUGUCUUCAGGGACGAUAAUGACGGUACCUGAGGAGGAAGCCACGGCUAACUACGUGCCAGCCGCCGCGGUAAUAC